Long non-coding RNA from Anser brachyrhynchus (Pink-footed goose), 1570 nucleotides. The record is from Ensembl. NCBI's taxonomy places the organism in Eukaryota, Metazoa, Chordata, Aves, Anseriformes, Anatidae.
AUGCGUUGCCUGGGCUUGGCUCGAUUUUCCUCCCCCUUCCCUCCUUCCUCUCCUUCCUUCUCCUUUCCUCCCCUCUCCCCGAUGGCUGGCAGGGAAAAGGCAGCGACGCAGCACCGCAAAGGGCCGGAUCCGGAGCCCUCGGAAGGCAGCCCGGGAGCUGGUGCUCUGCAACGUGCUGGCGUGGACCUGGUGAAAAUAAUGCGCUUCGGGGAUUUCUGUGCCCACAUCAGAGCGGGGACGCAGCGACGGGACCCGUGCAGCCCCCAGGAUGCGGCGCACCAAGGUCCCAUUCCCACCCCAUGCCGUGCCCAAAUCCCCUCCAACAGCUCCUACACCCCGAAAUACACACGCCAAGCUCCUCCACGAGUCUGCCAGACCCGGGAUGAAUUUCUCCACCGGUUUCCCAGCCCGGUGCCCGGCUGGCCCUGCCCCGGCGUCCCCCCGCGCUGCUGGAGCAGGCGGCGCGAUGGAAAGUUGCUGGAACAUCAGCUUCGGCUGCAGAGUCCUGGUAACAGUUGCUAUGCGAAACAUUCAGAGGUGGAAUUUACUGUCACAGUUAAUAAUAGAUGAAGGUUUUAGAAUUUUUGAUGCUUUACAUUUUAAGCCGUUUGAUUUAUAAUGUUUCAGAAAAGGAGGGGAAAGAGCCGGGGGGGUUGGGGGGAAAAAGGCAGGAGCCGAACGGCGGCGUGUGGUAAACACGGCGAGUGGGGAGAUGGCCGGGGCAGCCUCCUCUGCCCACACGGGGCCAGGGGUGAGACCCCCAACACGGCUUUCCAUAGGGUUCCCCCCCCCAAAUCACAGGCAGCAUCCCCAUGGGAAAGCGGGGCGCAACUGGGACCGACCCCCUCAGCCUCCGGAUCGCGUUUCUUUUCCUCUUUUUUUUUUUUUCCCCCCUUCCCUCAAACCUCCGCAUCUCUCCUCAUUCCGCAGGCGCGCCCCCGCGGGCGUUCUCCUUCUGGAGGGCUGCUGGGUUAUUGACUUGCUGGCGCUGCUCUUCCCUCUCGCAGGUGUAUCUCAAGUAGUCGCCGUAAAUAGCAGCGAGCCGCGCGCCCGCGGCGGCGUGCCGGUGGGUCGUGCUGAUUAGGAAUGCGGUGCCAAAAAAAAACACAUUAAGGGGCUUCUUUCCCCUCCGCACCGCCGCCGUGUUUGCGGGAGGACACGCCGAUGCCCCGGGUCCUGCUGAGGUCUUUGGGUGGGGGGAUGCUGGAGGGGCUCUGCUGGAGAAAAAGGCACUGAAAUGUCCAAAGGGGGGUGUCCGGAGCAGGCCUACGCUCUCCUUCCUGGAAAGGAGAGGCAAGCAUAGGUGCCAGCACUGUGCAUGGGAUUGCCAUGGCCCUUGGUGUCCCUCGGUGUCCCUUGGUGACCCUCGGUGUCCCUCCGUGUCCCCCGGUGACCCUCGGUGUCCCUUGGUGUCCCUCGGUGUCCCCCGGUGGUCCCUCGGUGUCCCUUGGUGUCCUGCGAUGAGCUCCAAGGCCAUCCAACACCAGGACGCUGAGGCUCACAGCUUUCCAGCGCCUUGCUCCAGCUUCUCCUGAUUCCCGGAGCACCCCGACCCAGGCUUGAAAAACUG